GAUGAACGCUAGCGGGAGGCCUAACACAUGCAAGCCGAGCGGUAUUGUUUCUUCGGAAAUGAGAGAGCGGCGUACGGGUGCGUAACACGUGUGCAACCUGCCUUUAUCUGGGGGAUAGCCUUUCGAAAGGAAAAUUAAUACUCCAUAAUAUAUUGAACGGCAUCGUUUAAUAUUGAAAGCUCCGGCGGAUAGAGAUGGGCACGCGCAAGAUUAGCUAGUUGGUGAGGUAACGGCUCACCAAGGCGAUGAUCCUUAGGGGGCCUGAGAGGGUGAUCCCCCACACUGGUACUGAGACACGGACCAGACUCCUACGGGAGGCAGCAGUGAGGAAUAUUGGUCAAUGGGUGCAUGCCUGAACCAGCCAUCCCGCGUGAAGGACGACUGCCCUAUGGGUUGUAAACUUCUUUUGUAUAGGGAUAAACCUACCCUCGUGAGGGUAGCUGAAGGUACUAUACGAAUAAGCACCGGCUAACUCCGUGCCAGCCGCCGCAGUAA
RNAcentral lists this ribosomal RNA (495 nucleotides) under uncultured bacterium. RNAcentral describes it as "partial 16S ribosomal RNA". It matches the Rfam family "Bacterial small subunit ribosomal RNA", at positions 28 to 523 of the family's 1533-position model. The record is from RNAcentral.